AUGGCCACGGCGCUUCGCCACGCGGCGAGGAGGUUCGGAACCAGAGCGGCGGCGGAGGCGGAGGCGGAGGCUAUCAUUGAGCGUAGUCCGCUGUACACUAGCACACGGAUCGUCGAUUCCACCACAGGCCGUGACCUCACGCCCAAUCAGAGGAAAGAUGCCAUCUUCCGCUUGGCUCAAAUCCAUGCCCAGAAAGAGGACCUCUACAACACAAUCGCUGCCUGGCAAGCUGACUACACUGCUAAGGGCAAUGUAGUGACCCGGAAAAACAACCUUUUGCUCAAACAACUCUCUCAGCAUGUCAAACCUAGACCCGAUGACCCCCGCUGGCGCUCAAGUCAGCGGGCAGUAUACUUUAAUGAUUUCCUCAAAUUCACGGGGGCAGUUUUGAUCGGCAAAAUGGCAGGAGAUGCCUUUAGUCAUUACAAGGCAAAACAAGAUCAUGAUGGCCACAAGGGAUCAAGCUAG
Molecule: ribosomal RNA, 468 nt
Filed under: Triticum aestivum (bread wheat)
Lineage: Eukaryota; Viridiplantae; Streptophyta; Magnoliopsida; Poales; Poaceae
Description: partial small subunit ribosomal RNA
Source: RNAcentral